AACCGCGGACGGCACCCCUCGGCUCCUCGCAUCUCCGGACCCCACCGGAGUCCCCACCAGCUCUCACCUCCCUCAUCUCUCCGCUUUCAAGGUUCUUGCAGCUGGUCCGCUAUUAGGAUCCCCCGCCAGGCAGCCGGCUCUCAGCCUUCGCUCCCCUCCUCCUGCCCCUUCGCCACUCCUGUCACUACCUCUCGGGGGUCCCUUCUCAGAGACCCUCUCCCGACUGAUCACCUGCGGAUCCCCAUUACUGCCCCCGGCACUGAAAAAGUCCUGAAGCCAGGUCAGAGACCCAAGGCAGAGACCAGAGCGGCGGAGGAGGGAGAAGGAGGAAGUCGGAGAGAAUUUGAGAGGCCGCUCGGAGACGGACAGGCCCUGGGAGCAGCAGCAAAUCUGAGGGAGGCACGUGCGCACAGGCACAAGAGCGCACACAGGCGCACCACUCCUGAGUCGGGGGUAUGGGUACCGCGCCCCCAGCCCCUGGCACGCAGGUCUGCGCUGGUGUCCCUAGGAGCCGGAGAGGGUGCAGGUCCCAGGGCCACAUAGUCCACAGUUCUGCGGUGGGACCCGCGCGUCCGGAGCGCAGUUCUCCGCAGAGCAGCCUCUGUGCUCAGGCGCCCGCGGCAACCGUGACGCUCCUGCGCCCCCUGCUGUCCCAUUGCGGCGGCGCAGCCCGGCCCUGUUUGCCGUCGGCCUGGGGGAGGGUCGGGGGAGAGUCGGGGGAGAGCGGAGAAGGGAGUGUCACCUGGGCCAUUUCCCUGCCUGGACCCACCCGGUUCCUCCUUCGCUUGGGAUUAGAUCAGCUAAGGCUGUAGGAUGUGUCUGGACUGGAGGGUGCGCUUAGGUCUUGCCUGGCCUUUGCCAGCGACUUGCUGCAUGACCUUGAUCAGAUCCCCUUCCCAGCUUCAGGGCCUCAGUUUCCCCAUCUCUUUCACAAGGCUGCCAGGAUAAUCAGCCCCGAUAAUGAAGGGAAGGCAGCCAGAGUCCCCUGACAGCCCUUGCUGUGGCAUGACCUGAAUCCUUCCCGCUGCACUGCAGGCUUCUCUCUCUGCAACUACCCCCACCCUACACACACACGCACACACGCACACACGCGCCUCCUGGAGGGUGACUCAGUGAGCCCCCAGCCUCCCCACCUCCCCACAAGGAUUGGGCUGAUUCAUCUGGACCCUUUCUCCCUGGGGAGUGAUUUCCUCAAUGUUGAGUCACUGGACACGGUCCAGGCACCUGGCACCCAGGCUAGGCAGAGCCCUGGCUGUGCCACUAGCUCAGGGGAAGGACCUCCACGCCAGGAUUUCUCCCACCGCUCUUUCUGAAGCCCAGCUUUGGACAUGCUGCUUCCCCUGCUCAGACCCCUUCAGUGACUCCAUACCACCAGCACAAUAAAGCCCAAACUCUCAGCCUGACAUGGCAGACUCUCUGUAACUUAGCUCUGACUUGUUUUUCCAGCUUUGACCUUCUUGCCACCAUUCCUUAAAGUUAUACUUCCUGCUCUA
Non-coding RNA from Manis javanica (Malayan pangolin), 1493 nucleotides. NCBI's taxonomy places the organism in Eukaryota, Metazoa, Chordata, Mammalia, Pholidota, Manidae. The record is from RefSeq and is a predicted model, not a curated record.